UGGAAGAUUGGGGAGACGAUCUGUCGUCUUUUGAUCUCGUUGUGGCCUUGAGCCCGGCGAGCCAGAGGCGGGCGCUGGAACUGACCCGGUUUUUUCAC
RNAcentral lists this transfer RNA (98 nucleotides) under Roseovarius sp. 217. RNAcentral's name for it is "tRNA-Glu". The record is from RNAcentral. Lineage: Bacteria; Pseudomonadati; Pseudomonadota; Alphaproteobacteria; Rhodobacterales; Roseobacteraceae.